RNAcentral lists this ribosomal RNA (374 nucleotides) under uncultured bacterium. RNAcentral describes it as "bacterial SSU rRNA". It matches the Rfam family "Bacterial small subunit ribosomal RNA", at positions 521 to 896 of the family's 1533-position model. The record is from RNAcentral.
UAAUACGGAGGGAGCAAGCGUUACUCGGAAUUAUUGGGCGUAAAGGGCGCGUAGGCGAUUUGACAAGUCAACUGUGAAAGCCCAAGGCUUAACCUUGGAAGUGCAGCUGAUACUGUUAGAUUUGAGUUCCGGAGAGGAAGGCAGAAUUCCCGGUGUAGCGGUGAAAUGCGUAGAUAUCGGGAGGAAUACCAGUGGCGAAGGCGGCCUUCUGGACGGAUACUGACGCUGAGGCGCGAAAGCCAGGGGAGCAAACGGGAUUAGAUACCCCGGUAGUCCUGGCUGUAAACGAUGUGCACUUGGUGUGAGCCAGUUUUUGGUUCGUGCCGAAGCUAACGCAAUAAGUGCACCGCCUGGGGAGUACGGUCGCAAGGCUG